Molecule: ribosomal RNA, 914 nt
Filed under: uncultured bacterium
Lineage: Bacteria
Also listed under: 1 other name
Description: bacterial SSU rRNA
Rfam family: Bacterial small subunit ribosomal RNA
Source: RNAcentral
UUGAUUAUGGCUCAGGAUGAACGCUAGCUACAGGCUUAACACAUGCAAGUCGAGGGGAAACGACAUCGAAAGCUUGCUUUUGAUGGGCGUCGACCGGCGCACGGGUGAGUAACGCGUAUCCAACCCGCCCACCACUUGGGGAUAACCUUGCGAAAGUAAGACUAAUACCCAAUGACGUCUCUAGAAGACAUCUGAAAGAGAUUAAAGAUUUAUCGGUGAUGGAUGGGGAUGCGUCUGAUUAGCUUGUUGGCGGGGUAACGGCCCACCAAGGCAACGAUCAGUAGGGGUUCUGAGAGGAAGGUCCCCCACAUUGGAACUGAGACACGGUCCAAACUCCUACGGGAGGCAGCAGUGAGGAAUAUUGGUCAAUGGACGAGAGUCUGAACCAGCCAAGUAGCGUGCAGGAUGACGGCCCUAUGGGUUGUAAACUGCUUUUAUAAGGGAAUAAAGUGAGUCUCGUGAGACUCUUUGCAUGUACCUUAUGAAUAAGGACCGGCUAAUUCCGUGCCAGCAGCCGCGGUAAUACGGAAGGUCCGGGCGUUAUCCGGAUUUAUUGGGUUUAAAGGGAGCGUAGGCCGGAGAUUAAGCGUGUUGUGAAAUGUAGACGCUCAACGUCUGCACUGCAGCGCGAACUGGUUUCCUUGAGUACGCACAAAGUGGGCGGAAUUCGUGGUGUAGCGGUGAAAUGCUUAGAUAUCACGAAGAACUCCGAUUGCGAAGGCAGCUCGCUGGAGCGCAACUGACGCUGAAGCUCGAAAGUGCGGGUAUCGAACAGGAUUAGAUACCCUGGUAGUCCGCACGGUAAACGAUGGAUGCCCGCUGUUGGUCUGAAUAGGUCAGCGGCCAAGCGAAAGCAUUAAGCAUCCCACCUGGGGAGUACGCCGGCAACGGUGCAACUCAAAGGAAUUGACGGA